RNAcentral lists this unclassified non-coding RNA (345 nucleotides) under soil metagenome. Its description in RNAcentral is "partial contains 5.8S ribosomal RNA, internal transcribed spacer 2, and large subunit ribosomal RNA". The stretch from base 1 to 120 matches the Rfam family "5.8S ribosomal RNA", at positions 35 to 154 of the family's 154-position model. The record is from RNAcentral.
GAUGAAGAACGUAGCGAAAUGCGAUACGUAAUGUGAAUUGCAGAAUUCAGUGAAUCAUCGAGUCUUUGAACGCACAUUGCGCCCCCUGGUAGUCCGGGGGGCAUGCCUGUCCGAGCGUCAUUGCUGCCCUCAAGCACGGCUUGUGUGUUGGGCCUCCGUCCUCCUCCCGGGGGACGGGCCCGAAAGGCAGCGGCGGCACCGCGUCCGGUCCUCGAGCGUAUGGGGCUUCGUCACCCGCUCUUGUAGGCCCGGCCGGCGCUUGCCGACACAUCAAUCUUUUUUCCAGGUUGACCUCGGAUCAGGUAGGGAUACCCGCUGAACUUAAGCAUAUCAAUAAGCGGAGGA